AUGCUUGACUCACCGCAAAACAUUUCGCUUUCUGCGCACGCUCAUACAUGGUUAACACUCCUAGCCUUUCAUCUGACUUUGCCAUCGGGCAAUUGUUUGUUUUCAACUGGAUUGGAUUCCGAACCAAGAAAGAUAGGCAACUUUCACUUGAAAGAAAGGAGCUUCAGAACUCUUGUAUUCCACCGAAUAAGAAUAAGAAUCAGAGAUGUUACAUUGCUUCAGUAA
RNAcentral lists this ribosomal RNA (225 nucleotides) under Triticum aestivum (bread wheat). Its description in RNAcentral is "partial small subunit ribosomal RNA". The record is from RNAcentral. Lineage: Eukaryota; Viridiplantae; Streptophyta; Magnoliopsida; Poales; Poaceae.